Molecule: long non-coding RNA, 1122 nt
Organism: Ictalurus punctatus (channel catfish)
Lineage: Eukaryota; Metazoa; Chordata; Actinopteri; Siluriformes; Ictaluridae
Source: Ensembl
AAUAAUUAGAGGUAUUGACUUAUUUUUUGUAGCUACAUAAGUUAUACUGGUAUAAAGAAUUUCAAAAGAGUUGAAUUUAUGACAAGGUUUUUGUGUGACGCCUAGAUUUUGACUAUGGAUGAGACCAACACCUCCUCCUCUACCAGUUGAACGAGGCUGAUGUACAUAACUGUAUCCAGGAGGACUGGCUUCAUUAAUGCUAUGUACUCCUUUGGUUUAAUCCAAAUUUCUGUUAAACACAUUAUGUUACAUUCCUGAUCAGUAAUGAUUUUAUUUACAAUAAGAGCCUUAGACAUAAGAGAUCUAAUGUUUAAUAGUCCUAGCUUCAGAUCAAAGGUGCUGGAUGUGCAUUUGGUAUGAUCUAAUUUUAUGUUAAUUAGGUUAGUAAAACAAACUUUCCGAAAUUUUCUAUGUAUAUAGCUCGGGGAACAGACAGUCUCUAUAGAAUGUACUAUUGCCCGAUUGACUCCAAUAUGAUAUUUUUCACAUAGUUAGACAUAAUACAGUACUAUGAAAUAUUUCUGACCUAAAAUAAGACGAAAUAUGAUUGUUCACAUUAAAAUGUAAAACUUGAUGAUAAAGUAUGAUAAGGUGAAAAAAGUGACAUUUCAUGUCUAGAAAGUCACUUUUCAUCAAAAGUACAAUGACAAAACUAGUUCCCAUUCAUCCUGUGUCCCCAUGCACACUUGUGCUCUUUAUAAGCUCAAAACGCUAUACAGCGAUUGAGAAGGCGCUAGGAGCAAAGGAAAGUGGUUUUUCCAACAAACUCAUGUAAUCAAUUGUCCGACCUACUCCCGUAUGAUAUUUUUCACAUAUUUACACAUAAUAUAGUACUAUGAAAUGUUUCUGACCUAAAAUAUUAUGAAAUAUGAUUGUUUACAUUAAAAUGUAAAAGUUGAUGAUAAAGUGUGCUAAGGUGAAAAAAGUGACAUUUUAUGUCUAGAAAGUCACUUUUCAUCAAAAGUACAAUGACAAAACUAGUUCCCAUUCAUCCUGUGUUCCCAAACACACUUGUGCUCUUUAUACACUCAAAACGCUAUACAGCGAUUGAGAAGGCGCUAGGAGCAAAGGAAAGUGGUUUUUCCAACAAACUCAUGUAAUCAAUUGCCCGACCUACUCCCG